RNAcentral lists this ribosomal RNA (324 nucleotides) under uncultured eukaryote. RNAcentral describes it as "partial 18S ribosomal RNA". It matches the Rfam family "Eukaryotic small subunit ribosomal RNA", at positions 1470 to 1796 of the family's 1831-position model. The record is from RNAcentral.
CCCUUAGAUGUUCUGGGCUGCACGCGCGCUACACUGAAGCUAUCAACACGUUUUCCCUCCCUGAGAAGGGCGGGUAACCUUUUGAAUCAGCUUCGUGGUAGGGAUCGGGGCUUGCAAUUGUUCCCCGUGAACCAGGAAUUCCUAGUAGACGCGAGUCAUAAGCUCGCAUCGAUUAAGUCCCUGCCCUUUGUACACACCGCCCGUCGCUACUACCGAUUGAACGUUUUAGUGAGGCAUUUGGACCGACGCAUCUCAGUAUAACCGCUGGUUUGUGUUGGAAAGACUUCCAAACUUGAGCGUUUAGAGGAAGUAAAAGUCGUAACA